GUUUCCACUGCCAAUAAAACAAAAGAAAUAUAAGAAACUGAGCCGCAGUUUAACAAACAGAUAAAAGUGAUUCAACCCAAACAGAUGACAAUCCUAUGGGAAAAUGACAUAAGCUUAUCGUGCCAUAAUAUAUUGUGGAAAUGAUGCAGGUAUAUCAUCCAAUAACAUAUACUUACAAAACAUGAAAAUUUAACCUCAAGCCAUGUUAAGAGAAUCCAAGAAAGGGAAUAACCAAAAUUACAAUCUUU
Molecule: unclassified non-coding RNA, 248 nt
Filed under: Hevea brasiliensis (rubber tree)
Lineage: Eukaryota; Viridiplantae; Streptophyta; Magnoliopsida; Malpighiales; Euphorbiaceae
Source: RNAcentral